RNAcentral lists this unclassified non-coding RNA (146 nucleotides) under fungal sp. Its description in RNAcentral is "partial internal transcribed spacer region". The stretch from base 1 to 46 matches the Rfam family "Eukaryotic small subunit ribosomal RNA", at positions 1786 to 1831 of the family's 1831-position model. Lineage: Eukaryota; Fungi. The record is from RNAcentral.
AAGUCGUAACAAGGUUUCCGUAGGUGAACCUGCGGAAGGAUCAUUAAUGAAUUAAUAAUUCAUCCAGUGUUAAACAGUCUAUUAUAUCUAUAAAUCGAAACACUAUUGUAAUUAUACAACUUUUAACGGUGGAUCUCUUGGUUCCU